AUUUCCUUGUCCCUGAACUGACCACUCCAGAUGAAAGAUCUUCAAGUGAGUGUAGGGAACGACUUGGAAAAGGGUGAAGUUAUACCUGCUGGAACCGGACCACUCUGACUUUUGCGGCAAAAGAGAGGGAAACACCUCAGUGACAUGUUUUAGACCCAGGGAAGUCUGAGGGAGGGAGGAAUGUUAAUGAUCUCUUUAAGAUUCACCCCAAAGCCUUGCUCAAAGAAGGAAAGCACUCUGGAGCAAUUCUCCCAAACCCUGAAGGCACAUUAAAUUUAACUGACUGCUGGGUUUUCCACCCCCUGACAGAGUUCGCUGACCAUGAUUUGAUCACCAUUCAUCUUAAUCUUACUGAGAUGCCUAUCAGAAGCAGCAGCGGAUGGCUCCCAGCCUCUGUACUUACCACACAAAACAUAUGUCAACGCCUCCAGCUGUUCUCCCAACACCGAUUCCCAUAGCCAUAACGGAGUCAGUCUGUGAGGGGGAUGAAAUCCACUUCGCCAGAGACACGGACAAACAGGUCAGUUUGGACCGCCUGAGGGCUCCCGGAAGGCCGUAGAGUACAGCAGUUUUGCGCCGGGCAUGCGCGGUGCCCUGCCCCGUUUUGGCUUCAGGCAGUCCCUCCAGCGCACAGUUUUGGGCCAGAGCCAGUCGGCAGCUCCACAUCCCGCCGCAGGGCCUCUGGAGCACAGCGCGCUGAAGCGUUAUGACUCUGACUGUGGAAGGUCCAGGAGUCCACGAGCACUGGAGAUCGCGUGAUAGAGACUGUGAGCCAACCUCCUUACUGACCAGUCUGGGAGGGGCACGGGGCGCUCAGGUGUUUCUCCUGCCAGGACUCGGCUGCCCCCGUAAAUGGCCUGAAGUCCCAGGAGAUGGGGCUUCCUGUGGGAAGUGAGGUUGUGGCUGCAAUGCUUGGGGCCUGAUUCCUCCAUUCUCUGAACCACCCCUGAUCCUCAGUGGAUCCCAGCCCAUCUUCUCCCUACUCUUCUAUGGGGACUGCACUUAAUCCAAAAUCAAGGGAUUGAUUCAUGUAUUUGAAAUGAACUAUUACCCUAGAAGUCAUGUUGGAGGCCCCAUCAACCUGUACCCUCAACUGAUAUGCGUCACACUUGAGAGGCCCUAACACUUGAAGAACUGACUUUCUUUUCAGAGUGACCACAUGCACGAUCAGGACUGUGCUUUUUGCGUGGGAGACCAGAUGCAAACCGUGCAUAGCCUUGGAAAUAUCUCCCUUCAGAUGAAAAGAUAAGCAUGCUUACUCUCUAGUAUGAUGAAGAUGAUGUCCUCCUUCGGAGAAGAGGAUGUCUGUGUCCUUUCUGGCGGGCAUCUAAGGGCUCCAGCAAUACUGAAUCGACUGCAAAUCGCACAUUGAAAACGUUUCCACCUCAGCCUCAGUUUCUGCAAAGCUGCUGCAUUUCCAGUUCACCUUCACUUCCAGCUCUCUUGGAAUAGGCUCCUGUUUGUAUCUGGUUUUGUUGAGGCCACGCGGAUGAGUUAGAGCAGAAUGCAUGUGCAGAGAAAAGACUUACCAAGGAAAAUGUAAUCCAAUGUGGUAAGAGAAAGACAGAGCCUCUCAAAAAUCUUCAGCUAUAUCCAAGAAAAUAUGCAGAAAGAGCAUAAUGGAAGAAGUUCCUUCAGGCUUCUGUCUCACCACUUUUUUCCUUCUCAUAAUGAAUUCAGACAUGUUAAGAAAUAAACUGAUUUGAG
This is a long non-coding RNA of Equus caballus (horse), 1707 nucleotides long. Lineage: Eukaryota; Metazoa; Chordata; Mammalia; Perissodactyla; Equidae. The record is from Ensembl.